GACGAACGCUGGCGGCGUGCUUAACACAUGCAAGUCGAACGGAAAGGCCCUGCUUUUGUGGGGUGCUCGAGUGGCGAACGGGUGAGUAACACGUGAGUAACCUGCCCUUGACUUUGGGAUAACUUCAGGAAACUGGGGCUAAUACCGGAUAGGAGCUCCUGCUGCAUGGUGGGGGUUGGAAAGUUUCGGCGGUUGGGGAUGGACUCGCGGCUUAUCAGCUUGUUGGUGGGGUAGUGGCUUACCAAGGCUUUGACGGGUAGCCGGCCUGAGAGGGUGACCGGCCACAUUGGGACUGAGAUACGGCCCAGACUCCUACGGGAGGCAGCAGUGGGGAAUAUUGCACAAUGGGCGGAAGCCUGAUGCAGCAACGCCGCGUGCGGGAUGACGGCCUUCGGGUUGUAAACCGCUUUCGCCUGUGACGAAGCGUGAGUGACGGUAAUGGGUAAAGAAGCACCGGCUAACUACGUGCCAGCAGCCGCGGUGAUACGUAGGGUGCGAGCGUUGUCCGGAUUUAUUGGGCGUAAAGGGCUCGUAGGUGGUUGAUCGCGUCGGAAGUGUAAUCUUGGGGCUUAACCCUGAGCGUGCUUUCGAUACGGGUUGACUUGAGGAAGGUAGGGGAGAAUGGAAUUCCUGGUGGAGCGGUGGAAUGCGCAGAUAUCAGGAGGAACACCAGUGGCGAAGGCGGUUCUCUGGGCCUUUCCUGACGCUGAGGAGCGAAAGCGUGGGGAGCGAACAGGCUUAGAUACCCUGGUAGUCCACGCUGUAAACGGUGGGUACUAGGUGUGGGGUCCAUUCCACGGGUUCCGUGCCGUAGCUAACGCUUUAAGUACCCCGCCUGGGGAGUACGGCCGCAAGGCUAAAACUCAAAGGAAUUGACGGGGCCCCGCACAAGCGGCGGAGCAUGCGGAUUAAUUCGAUGCAACGCGUAGAACCUUACCUGGGUUUGACAUGGAUCGGGAGUGCUCAGAGAUGGGUGUGCCUCUUUUGGGGUCGGUUCACAGGUGGUGCAUGGCUGUCGUCAGCUCGUGUCGUGAGAUGUUGGGUUAAGUCCCGCAACGAGCGCAACCCUUGUUCACUGUUGCCAGCACGUUAUGGUGGGGACUCAGUGGAGACCGCCGGGGUCAACUCGGAGGAAGGUGGGGAUGACGUCAAGUUAUCAUGCCCCUUAUGUCCAGGGCUUCACGCAUGCUACAAUGGCUGGUACAGAGAGUGGCGAGCCUGUGAGGGUGAGCGAAUCCCGGAAAGCCGGUCUCAGUUCGGAUUGGGGUCUGCAACUCGACCUCAUGAAGUCGGAGUCGCUAGUAAUCGCAGAUCAGCAACGCUGCGGUGAAUACGUUCCCGGGGCU
This 1346-nucleotide ribosomal RNA is filed under the name uncultured bacterium. RNAcentral describes it as "partial 16S ribosomal RNA". It matches the Rfam family "Bacterial small subunit ribosomal RNA", at positions 28 to 1381 of the family's 1533-position model. The record is from RNAcentral.